Long non-coding RNA from Felis catus (domestic cat), 1271 nucleotides. RefSeq lists it as uncharacterized. The record is from RefSeq and is a predicted model, not a curated record. The transcript has 3 exons. NCBI's taxonomy places the organism in Eukaryota, Metazoa, Chordata, Mammalia, Carnivora, Felidae.
AUUAAGGCUCACUGAAGCUAUAAGGGUGGGGCUCUACUCCAUUAGAACUGGUGUUAUUAUAAGAAAAGGAGGAGACACCAGGAAAGCAUGCACACAGAAGAAAGGCCAUGGGAGGACACAGAGAAGGCACUGUCUGCAAAUCGAAGAGAGAAGUCUCUCAUCAGAAACCAACCCCAUCUGCACCUUGAUCUUGGACUUCCAGCCUCCAGAACGGAGAAGAGAAAAUCCAAAUAAGAGGCACCAAUGCCAACUCACACAUCUCUGCUGCGUCGAACUUCAUCCUGCUCUUUGGACUGGCGGCGGCGCUGUCUGGCAGAUGUGGAAGAAGACGCUGAUGAUGUUCCAGACUCUGAGUCCUCUGAACUUUGGCCUCCAGGGCCAUUAACAUCAAAAAGAUGCUGCUCUACUGCUGACCGGAUGGUUCUUUCUAAGAGUCUAAUAAAAAAAGAAUACAGGGUCACUCAGUUGCACAAGCUUAGUUUUGGGAACAUGGACCAAUGUGAAUGAUGACUCCAGGAGAAUACAGAAGAGGGAGAAAAUGUGGAUCUGCCAGAUGCUAAAAAUAUUCCAAAGACAUGUAAGUAUAAUCAGCCAAUUAGUCCUCCAGGCCAUCUCAGAAUGAGGAGAUGUACAUCCUUUCUUCUCUUCUACAUACUUUAAACCUGAACUUCUUUUUGCUUAUUAAAGCACAUGCUGAUAUUUUUAUGUUCCUUUUGGGGGCCUGGGGGCCAGGACACAAAAAAGAAAGGUGAGGAAGAAAGAGACAAGAACAUGACAUCAAGUAGAACCAGGUUUUGAGAUUACUAACUGAUGAAAUGCUUCUCAAACAUUAAGGCAUAGCUGAAUCACCUAGGAGCUUGUUUACAAACAGACUCUCGUUCAAUAGUCUAGGUCUCAGGAAGGGGACUGCCUUUCUAACAAAUUUUACAGUGAUUUUGAGGCUGCUGAUUUGUGUAAGACACUGAUUAGCAAAGCUGUAAUUCCCUGCAACUAAAAUUCUUCAAGACUUCAAUUACUUGGAUAUCACAAUAGCUAUUUUUAAACUUUCUAAUCUAAGUAAUGAGGGUAUGAGUUGGAAAACUUAGGCUAGCAUAAGUGAAUAAAAGGCAACAUGUCAAAAUUUCCCUCACAGCUUAUAACCUAAGCCAUCUAAAUCAGUCUUGUAAAAUUUAUUUAUUUAUUUUCCAAUGUUUAUUUAUUUUUGUGAGACAGAGACAGAGUGCCAGUGGGGAAGGGCAGAGAGAGAGAGAGAGGGAGACACAGAAACUGAA